GACGAACGCUGGCGGCGUGCUUAACACAUGCAAGUCGAACGGAAAGGCCCUGCUUUUGUGGGGUGCUCGAGUGGCGAACGGGUGAGUAACACGUGAGUAACCUGCCCUUGACUUUGGGAUAACUUCAGGAAACUGGGUCUAAUACCGGAUAGGAGCUCCUGCUGCAUGGUGGGGGUUGGAAAGUUUCGGCGGUUGGGGAUGGACUCGCGGCUUAUCAGCUUGUUGGUGGGGUGGUGGCUUACCAAGGCUUUGACGGGUAGCCGGCCUGAGGGGGUGACCGGCCACAUGGGGACUGAGAUACGGCCCAGACGACUACGGGAGGCAGCAGUGGGGAAGAUUGCACAACGGGCGGAAGCCGGAUGCAGCAACGACGCGGGCGGGAUGACGGCCUUCGGGUUGUAAACCGCUUUCGCCUGUGACGAAGCGUGAGUGACGGUAAUGGGUAAAGAAGCACCGGCUAACUACGUG
RNAcentral lists this ribosomal RNA (468 nucleotides) under uncultured bacterium. RNAcentral describes it as "partial 16S ribosomal RNA". It matches the Rfam family "Bacterial small subunit ribosomal RNA", at positions 28 to 507 of the family's 1533-position model. The record is from RNAcentral.